GACGAACGCUGGCGGCGUGCUUAACACAUGCAAGUCGAACGGACAGGCCCUGCUUUUGUGGGGUGCUCGAGUGGCGAACGGGUGAGUAACACGUGAGUAACCUGCCCUUGUCUUUGGGAUAACUUUAGGAAACUGGGGCUAAUACCGGAUAGGAGCUCCUGCUGCAUGGUGGGGGUUGGAAAGUUUCGGCGGUUGGGGAUGGACUCGCGGCUUAUCAGCUUGUUGGUGGGGUAGUGGCUUACCAAGGCUUUGACGGGUAGCCGGCCUGAGAGGGUGACCGGCCACAUUGGGACUGAGAUACGGCCCAGACUCCUACGGGAGGCAGCAGUGGGGAAUAUUGCACAAUGGGCGGAAGCCUGAUGCAGCAACGCCGCGUGCGGGAUGACGGCCUUCGGGUUGUAAACCGCUUUCGCCUGUGACGAAGCGUGAGUGACGGUAAUGGGUAAAGAAGCACCGGCUAACUACGUG
Molecule: ribosomal RNA, 468 nt
Filed under: uncultured bacterium
Lineage: Bacteria
Description: partial 16S ribosomal RNA
Rfam family: Bacterial small subunit ribosomal RNA
Source: RNAcentral